AAGGCCGCACACAGAAGCAAAGGAAAACCAAAAGAUUUAUUCUCCACUUCCCAUCAGCAGGCAGUGUCCAGCCAUUUCCCAGGACGUAGGGCUUCAGUACAUGUAGUGGUCGUUCUGGAAGACAAAUGUAAAAAAUGCAUGC
Long non-coding RNA from Aquila chrysaetos chrysaetos, 142 nucleotides. RefSeq lists it as uncharacterized. NCBI's taxonomy places the organism in Eukaryota, Metazoa, Chordata, Aves, Accipitriformes, Accipitridae. The transcript is spliced from 3 exons. The record is from RefSeq and is a predicted model, not a curated record.